GAGGGAGACAGAGACAGAGACAGAAUGUGUGUGUGUGAGUGUGUGUGUGAGUGUGAGAGAGACAGAGACAGAAUGUGUGUGUGUGAGUGUGUGUGUGUGUGUGAGUGAGUGUGAGAGAGAGAGAGACAGAGACAGAAUGUGUGUGUGUGAGUGUGUGUGUGAGUGUGAGUGUGUGAGUGUGUGUGCACUUUGCUGACUCCCAGGGAGGUCCGAUUGCACAGCCUGUCCCGGGCCAUCUAUUUAUAGCGGCUGCCAGCCCGAGCCGGGCCCGCCGGGAGACAAGUGAGGAGUCAAGCAGCAGGGAUAAAGUUCUCCUUGCCCCCAAAACCCCCAGUCUCAACAUCCUGCCGCCCUAAAUCCGGCAGAAACCUCUGUCCCAGGGGAGCUGCUAGAGAAGCAACUAAAAAUGGCCCGAAGAUCCUCAGAAACCCCUUUCCCUUCUCAAAGCAUCAGUCCCUGUCUGUCCCAGCCUUCCCUUUAUCCUACCUAAAAUAGGUAGGAUAGCCUGGUCGGAGACAGCAGGAGAAACACUAACUGUGUGAACUUAGAUUCAGGGACAAAAUCUUUUUCACCUUUGAACGAAAGCAACCAACUGGGUGUUGCUGGUGGUCCUGGUGAUAAUGGGGGUGAUGGUGGCUCUCUCAGCUCCCUGACGCUCUAUGUUUCAGCAGCUUUCCGCACUACAGAUCCCAAGGUGCCCAUCCUGUGGGACACUUGGCCAACGCUUCCACAAGGCACACUCUCAGCAUCCUCACUUUCCCUGACAAAACAGUAGAACACGAGGCUGUGGACGGUGACUAUCCCCCUUUUCUGUCACAUUUCUUUGAGGACCUUGUCUACUUUGGUAGCACCUUGUGAUGUGCUGCAGCUUGUUCACACCCCCCAUCUCUCUCUCUCCAUUGCCCUCUGAGUGAUACUCAUUUUUAAAUCUCUAGACUAGUACCAUGUUCCAAACUCAUGGGCACCCAAUGGGACAGGUAGAAUAUCAGUAUUUUAAAAAGACCUUUGUUUCUAGAAGUUUCGUGUCAUUACAGGGGCUUUGCAAUUUUCAGAAGGUAAUCUAGCCCACUCUUUUUCCUCCUGUUUAAAAAUUUAAACUUAACUCAUUGUCCAUUUUCUGACCAGGUGCCCUAAUCAAGAUAAUGGGCAUUCUCUAUUUCCUUGGUGGAUAAAUAGUUCAAACUCUUUAGAGUGGCUAAGGAUCUUAUCCAGGAGGUUACAAUAUUCUGUGAAAAGACUCCACAACAAUUAAACUUGAUGUAGAAUUGCAGUUGAUUAAUAGACAAACUUAAUUGUAACUUAAAGUUACUUUGAAAAGCAUGGGUAUGGAACAUAUUUUUUAAAAAGUAUGAGGAUGGCUGGCUCCUUUAAGAAACUUAUAGGUUUUGAACUGGAAGUUAGGGAUAGGUCAAAUGCAUAUGAAUAUAUCAGCCAACAGGUAAGUUAAGUAUAAGAGCUAUGGAAAUUCAAGGUACGGUCAGCAAGAAAGCUUCAAAUCAAAAAUAAGUUUUGAACUGGGCCAGGAAGGAAAAGUAGGAUGUUCUAAAGGGACAUAACGACCAAAAAGACAGAAUUGGGAGAGCAAAGGAUUAUUGAAGGGAUGUUGAGUUAAUUCAUUAUGUUGAGAAUUUAGGGUUUCCUAUUGAAGGAGAGAAAGAAGCACAGACAUGCAGGACAGCUUUGAAAGCUACAGGUAGAAUCAUUCUUCAAACCAAAGCCAGUCAUAGAUAAGAGAUCUGCAGCAUUGUGUAGAAUUUGUUUCUUUUCUAUAUGGAAAUGCCUAUUUGGUGCUAAAGUUGAGAAUUAAAAUAACUUUUAAAAAGAUAAACAGAACAUACACCUGUUUUUCUAAUUUGAUGUUUGAUUCAUCACAGGUAUGUUUUCCAUUACAGUUCUAUAAUACCUCAUUAUGAUGUAAUUCUGGAUUCUCAAAUGCUGUACUAACCGAGCACAAGUUUGGAGGAAAGACUUCAGGUAUAGUCUUUUUUUUUUUUUUUUUUUUACUUUUGGAAAAUCAUGUGUUUAUUCAUGGUUUUAGUCAAUCACAUAACACUCAAUCACAUAAGAUACAGAUUAUAACAUUGAUUAAUCUUAGCCAUAAUUUAUAAUAAACGUUUAUCUUUGAUUCUUUUUUUUUUUUUUAAUUUUUUUUUUUAUUUAAUAGCCUUUUAUUUACAGGAUAUAUACAUAGGUAACUUUACAGCAUUAACAAUUGCCAAACCUCUUGUUCCAAUUUUUCACCUCUUACCCCCACCCUCCCUAAAUGUCAGGAUGACCAGUAGAUGUUAAAAUAUAUUAAAAUAUAACUUAGAUACACAAUAAGUAUACAUGACCAAAACAUUAUUUUGCUGUACAAAAAGAAUCAGACUCUGAAUUAUUGUACAAUUAGCUUGUAAAGGAAAUCAAAAAUGCAGGUGUGCAUAACUAUAGGGAUUGGGAAUUCAAUGUAAUGGUUUUUAGUCAUCUCCCAGAGUUCUUUUUCUGGGCAUAGCUAGUUCAGUUCAUUACUGCUCCAUUAGAAAUGAUUUGGUUGAUCUCGUUGCUGAGGAUGGCCUGAUCCAUCAGAACUGGUCAUCAUCUAGUAUUGUUGUAGAGGUAUAUAAUGAUCUCCUGGUCCUGCUCAUUUCACUCAGCAUCAGUUCGUGUAAGUCUCUCCAGGCCUUUCUGAAAUCAUCCUGUUGGUCAUUUCUUACAGAACAGUAAUAUUCCAUAAUUUUCAUAUACCACAAUUUAUUCAGCCAUUCUCCAACUGAUGGACAUCCAUUCAGUUUCCAGUUUCUAGCCACUACAAAAAGGGCUGCCACAAACAUUCGUGCACAUACAGGUCCCUUUCCCUUCUUUAUAAUCUCUUUGGGAUAUAAUCCCAGUAGUAACACUGCUGGAUCAAAGGGUAUGCACAGUUUGAUAACUUUUUGAGCAUAGAUCCAAACUACU
RNAcentral lists this long non-coding RNA (2934 nucleotides) under Sarcophilus harrisii (Tasmanian devil). RNAcentral's name for it is "lncRNA (ENSSHAG00000025542.1)". Lineage: Eukaryota; Metazoa; Chordata; Mammalia; Dasyuromorphia; Dasyuridae. The record is from RNAcentral.